This 1267-nucleotide ribosomal RNA is filed under the name uncultured bacterium. RNAcentral's name for it is "bacterial SSU rRNA". It matches the Rfam family "Bacterial small subunit ribosomal RNA", at positions 42 to 1387 of the family's 1533-position model. The record is from RNAcentral.
GAUCAGGCCUAACACAUGCAAGUCGAACGAUAUAGUGGCAGACGGGUGAGUAACGCGUGGAAACGUGCCUUUCACUACGGAAUAGCUUUUGGAAACGAAAGGUAAUACCGUAUACGCCCUCCGGGGGAAAGAUUUAUCGGUGAAAGAUCGGUCCGCGUUAGAUUAGCUAGUUGGUGAGGUAACGGCUCACCAAGGCUACGAUCUAUAGCUGGUCUGAGAGGAUGAUCAGCCACACUGGGACUGAGACACGGCCCAGACUCCUACGGGAGGCAGCAGUGGGGAAUAUUGCACAAUGGGCGCAAGCCUGAUGCAGCCAUGCCGCGUGAAUGAUGAAGGCCUUAGGGUUGUAAAAUUCUUUCGCCAGGGAUGAUAAUGACAGUACCUGGUAAAGAAGCCCCGGCUAACUUCGUGCCAGCAGCCGCGGUAAUACGAAGGGGGCUAGCGUUGUUCGGAAUUACUGGGCGUAAAGCGCACGUAGGCGGACUUUUAAGUCAGAUGUGAAAUCCCGAGGCUCAACCUCGGAACUGCAUUUGAAACUGGGAGUCUAGAGAUCAGGAGAGGUUAGCGGAAUACCGAGUGUAGAGGUGAAAUUCGUAGAUAUUCGGUGGAACACCAGUGGCGAAGGCGGCUAACUGGACUGAUACUGACGCUGAGGUGCGAAAGUGUGGGGAGCAAACAGGAUUAGAUACCCUGGUAGUCCACACCGUAAACGAUGAGUGCUAGUUGUCUGCAGGCAUGCCUGUAGGUGACUCAGCUAACGCAUUAAGCACUCCGCCUGGGGAGUACGGCCGCAAGGUUAAAACUCAAAGAAAUUGACGGGGGCCCGCACAAGCGGUGGAGCAUGUGGUUUAAUUCGAAGCAACGCGCAGAACCUUACCUACGCUUGACAUGCCCGGACGAUUUCCAGAGAUGGAUCUCUCCCUUCGGGGCCGGUGCACAGGUGCUGCAUGGCUGUCGUCAGCUCGUGUCGUGAGAUGUUGGGUUAAGUCCCGCAACGAGCGCAACCCUCAUCCUUAGUUGCCAUCACGUUUGGGUGGGCACUCUAGGGAAACUGCCGGUGCUAAGCCGGAGGAAGGCGGGGAUGACGUCAAGUCCUCAUGGCCCUUACGCGUAGGGCUACACACGUGCUACAAUGGCAGUGACAAUGGGAUAAUCCCCAAAAGCUGUCUCAGUUCGGAUUGUCGGCUGCAAUUCGCCGGCAUGAAGUUGGAAUCGCUAGUAAUCGUGGAUCAGCAUGCCACGGUGAAUACGUUCCCGGGCAUGUACA